UACGUAGGGCGCAAGCGUUGUCCGGAAUUAUUGGGCGUAAAGCGCUCGUAGGCGGCCUGUUGCGUCCGCUGUGAAAUCCCGGGGCUCAACCCCGGGCCUGCAGUGGAUACGGGCUGGCUAGAGGCAGGCAGGGGAGAACGGAAUUCCUGGUGUAGCGGUGAAAUGCGCAGAUAUCAGGAGGAACACCGGUGGCGAAGGCGGUUCUCUUGGCCUGUACUGACGCUGAGGAGCGAAAGCCAGGGGAGCAAACGGG
Molecule: ribosomal RNA, 253 nt
Filed under: uncultured bacterium
Lineage: Bacteria
Description: partial 16S ribosomal RNA
Rfam family: Bacterial small subunit ribosomal RNA
Source: RNAcentral